RNAcentral lists this ribosomal RNA (301 nucleotides) under uncultured bacterium. RNAcentral's name for it is "partial 16S ribosomal RNA". It matches the Rfam family "Bacterial small subunit ribosomal RNA", at positions 509 to 807 of the family's 1533-position model. The record is from RNAcentral.
CAGCCGCCGCGGUAAUACGAAGGGUGCAAGCGUUAAUCGGAAUUACUGGGCGUAAAGCGUGCGUAGGCGGUGAGUUAAGUCUGCUGUGAAAUCCCCGGGCUCAACCUGGGAACGGCAGUGGAUACUGGCUCGCUAGAGUGUGUCAGAGGAUGGUGGAAUUCCCGGUGUAGCGGUGAAAUGCGUAGAGAUCGGGAGGAACAUCAGUGGCGAAGGCGGCCAUCUGGGACAACACUGACGCUGAGGCACGAAAGCGUGGGGAGCAAACAGGAUUAGAGACCCCCGUAGUCCCUGUCUCUUAUAC